Molecule: ribosomal RNA, 479 nt
Filed under: uncultured bacterium
Lineage: Bacteria
Description: bacterial SSU rRNA
Rfam family: Bacterial small subunit ribosomal RNA
Source: RNAcentral
AUUGAACGCUAGCGGAAUGCUUUACACAUGCAAGUCGAACGGUAGAGGGGGCAACCCCUUGAGAGUGGCGAACGGGUGAGUAAUAUAUCGGAACGUGCCCAGUCGUGGGGGAUAACGUAGUGAAAAUUACGCUAAUACCGCAUACGAUCUAAGGAUGAAAGCGGGGGAUCGCAAGACCUCGCGCGAUUGGAGCGGCCGAUAUCAGAUUAGGUAGUUGGUGGGGUAAAGGCCCACCAAGCCAACGAUCUGUAGCUGGUCUGAGAGGACGACCAGCCACACUGGAACUGAGACACGGUCCAGACUCCUACGUGAGGCAGCAGUGGGGAAUUUUGGACAAUGGGCGAAAGCCUGAUCCAGCCAUUCCGCGUGCAGGAUGAAGGCCCUCGGGUUGUAAACUGCUUUUGUACAGAACGAAAAGGUUUCUACUAAUACUAGGAGCUCAUGACGGUACUGUAAGAUAAGCACCGGCUAACUACGUG